UUAAUUGCUGAGUAUGUUGCUGAAAUGUGCAUGUGAUUUCUUGUACACUUGCUAGGUCCUGUUGCUGGGAAAAGCUGGACAUCAGCCAGGAAGACAGGACUUUCUUUGCUGACCGGAGGUGCUCGGGAGUCCUGGAGGGAGCAUGUCUCUGGGUGUGCAUCUUAUACGUUGAAUUCCUCACGGGGGGCUCUGAGGUCACUGCUUUACACACCCGCUUGCCCGUCCUGCCUUCCCUACAUUCCCUGCAUCCUAGAGCGUGCUCGGAUCAAAGAUCACCCCCUCAACAGUGCAUUCCUUGGAAAAGUUGAGCAAAAUGAGUGAGAACUCCAACUGUUGUUCUCAUCAGAUCUGUUAUGCAGAAUGCAGCAGACUCCGGGCAGUCACAGGCAGAGCUGCAGCGCCAAGGGUCUUUGUCAGUGAAGAGAAGGAAGACCUCUCUCUGUCUAGGUGACUGGAGGUCCCUGGUGCUUGCAGAGGAGGUGUGGCCCUGCGUGCACAUCAUUUCUGCCGGCAUGUGGGAAGGUGGGGUGGCUGUGCCAGGCUCGCUGUCAUUUGUGACCUGCGUUUCCUUUGAUGGCCAGAGUUGUGAGAGGGGUCUGGAGAGAGUGUGUCCCGGGGUGUGCACCUUACACGUGGAUUGCUCAGAAAGGCAUAGCUGCAGUACAAGGGCUCUUCAUCAGUAAAGAAAUGAAGACCUCUGUUCCUGGAUGACUUGGGUCCCUGGGAAUCCUAGGGGAGGUGUGACCAUGAGUGUGCACCAUGUUCAGGCAUCACUGGAGAAGGUCGGGUUUCCGUGCAAGGCUUGGUGUCAACCAUGAAGAGACUACUGUUUCUUUUCUGUGGUGACUGGAUAUGCUAGACAGUCCUGGAAGGAGAGUGUCCCUGCGUGUGCCCCUUACAUGUGGAUCGCUCAGGAAGGUGUUAUGGUUGUGCAAGGUUCACCAUCAGCCACGAAGACAUGAUGUUCCUUUGGUGCCAGAAAUUGCUCAGGAAUCCUGCAGAGACUGUGUUUGUGUCCCUGGACGUGCACCUCACAUGUGGAUCACUCAGGAAGGUUGUUUCCCAAAAAAACGUUUUCUUUGACCUAGAGCCUCUCUCGCUCUGCACGUUGGGAUUCUUCUAGAAUUGGAAAUAGGCAAUGUCAAGCCCACCUUGGUGUUCUCAGAU
Long non-coding RNA from Artibeus jamaicensis (Jamaican fruit-eating bat), 1167 nucleotides. RefSeq lists it as uncharacterized. The record is from RefSeq and is a predicted model, not a curated record. The transcript has 8 exons. Lineage: Eukaryota; Metazoa; Chordata; Mammalia; Chiroptera; Phyllostomidae.